CAAAAAUUAAUAACACUGUUUAAAAAGUUUAAAUUAUCUUAUUACUAUUAUACAUUACACAAAAUUACUGUAUAGAUUAAAUUACUGUAAUCGUGGAUCUAACCGCAGGCGAAAUUAUUUUUUUCAAUUUGUGUGUAAUCAUAAAUUGACGAUCUGGGUGAAUAGAAAGGCAGUGCUGUUAUGUGAAAAAGAUGAUGCAUACGCUUGCACAAUUCUGUUUUGCCUGAAACAACAUUUUUGCUUCGCGAAAUGUAAUUUAAAAUAGGUAUAAUGCAUUUUUAUAUUGCAAAUAAAUGCAGAGCAGUAAAUAUUACGAUUUGCACUCUCAAUAACGAAAGAGAAAUAUAACCGAAAUAUUUUGUAUCGAGAUAGCAAGUAUUUGUGUUUAUUAUUAUUACUAUAUGUAUAUACUCGCAUAAUAGCAAUAUAAAAUUUUAAUACAAUGACAGAAGAGGAGUAACGAGAUAUUCAUAUAAUACCUUUCUAUAACUUAUUAACUCUAAAAAUUUGGAAUAGUCAUUUAUAAUUAUGCGAAAAUUAAUCAAUAAGAGAAAAUGAAAUUUCGUACUCGUUAAUCAUCUGCACGUAGACUAUAAGUAAGUAACGCAGAAAAAUUCAAUUAUCUGCGUUCGUUAAAACAAAUUUACUUUGUACUACCGCGAUUGCGGAUUUUAAUUUGUUCUCUUCAAUACAUAAAUACAAAUGCACAAAUACGCCCACUCUCGACUUGUCCGCGCGCGCACACGUUUACUCCUAUAUAUGCUCGCCUCAGUCUCAUGUUGUGUGUAUGUACGCGUACAUGCUUUUUUAUGCCCUUUCAAUCUACGUUUAUUCAUUCUUUUAUGGAUACCAACCGGGCUCGCCUUUCAUUUUGUUUCAACGGAGGAGGAGAGAACCGAAUGAAAAGUUGAAACGGGCGGAGGAAAAGAGUAGAAAUAAACGAAUGGGAGGAUAGGAGAGGGACGGGAGUGUAGGAGGGUACGUACGGAGAAAGAGGGGAAGCGGAGGAUUGAGGGGGAAAUGAAAAAGGAGACAAGGAGAAAGGGGCGAGAGCGGGUGGCGGGUUGUUACUCCCGCGAUGGUGCUGAGGCAAGGGGAGGAAAGGCUCGCUCGAAGGUGGAGGAAGAGUAUAUAAACCUGUAGAAAUGCAUUAGGUACCUACCUACGGGCGAUAUUACCCAGGGAAAAAUUCUGCUUCUCAAAGGGUCGCCCCGAGUGCUUUUCAAAGUAGAUUUUCGGAACGAGCUUGUCCGAUCUUUCUUAAAAGGAUCGCAUCGAAAGAGGGAAAUUGCACUAACUCGAUGGACACGAUGGCCUACCGAUUUAAUCAUCAACGUCGAUACUGAACUAUAUAUAAUUCAUAUGUGCGCGUGGAUGUAUUCGUAUAGGGAGAUCUGACGAAUAGAUACGCACAAUCGGAAACAUUGAUCGCGCGAUGCCAGACACAACGGUAUUCUAUGGAAGAGAUUUAAUUUAGACGAACGUUUCAAAUCAGAUUGAACCGGGAAAUAAGGACGUUGUAUGGUAAUAGUAGUAGUACCGAUGGCGAUGGUGUAGUGAGGAGCAGUAGAAUCGAGAGAGAGACAAGAGAGGAAGGAAAGGAAAAGAAGGAAGAGAACCUUUCAUAAUGUUGGGAUAAAUGAGGAUCGGACAUACCGCCAUUGGAUAAUUCUCGAGUAUCAAAAAAUAAAUAAAAAUUAAUAAUUAUUGUGCUCGUAACUAUUAUAAUUAUAAUUGAAAUUUAUAUGUACACGCUCAUGAGCAAUUUGUCCAUGUAAGUCUCUUCUGUAUUUUUCGUACAUGUUAAUAAGAAUUUAAAAAAAAUUUUAUUUAAAAA
Wasmannia auropunctata (little fire ant) is the source of this 1837-nucleotide long non-coding RNA. RefSeq lists it as uncharacterized. The transcript has 3 exons. Lineage: Eukaryota; Metazoa; Arthropoda; Insecta; Hymenoptera; Formicidae. The record is from RefSeq and is a predicted model, not a curated record.